RNAcentral lists this small RNA (80 nucleotides) under Salmonella enterica. RNAcentral describes it as "partial RtT sRNA". It matches the Rfam family "RtT RNA", at positions 1 to 79 of the family's 130-position model. From Rfam's summary of the family: This family represents a bacterial cis-regulatory element known as RtT RNA. The exact function of RtT is unknown although it is thought that it may be involved in changing the cellular response in relation to amino acid starvation. The record is from RNAcentral. RNAcentral also lists the same sequence under 2 other names. Lineage: Bacteria; Pseudomonadati; Pseudomonadota; Gammaproteobacteria; Enterobacterales; Enterobacteriaceae.
AUAUCUCUCCGUACGGGAAGGAUGAGAAGCUUCGACUAAGGUUCGAUUCGAGCGCAGCGAGAAAGCGUUGCCGCAGGCAA